This 69-nucleotide transfer RNA is filed under the name Apteronotus rostratus. Its description in RNAcentral is "tRNA-Asp". It matches the Rfam family "tRNA". Rfam says of the family: Transfer RNA (tRNA) molecules are approximately 80 nucleotides in length. Their secondary structure includes four short double-helical elements and three loops (D, anti-codon, and T loops). Lineage: Eukaryota; Metazoa; Chordata; Actinopteri; Gymnotiformes; Apteronotidae. The record is from RNAcentral.
AGGGUAUUAGUAAAAAUAUUACACCGCCUUGUCAAGACGAAAUUGCAAGUUAAAAUCUUGUAUACCCUU